Meriones unguiculatus (Mongolian gerbil) is the source of this 105-nucleotide small nuclear RNA. Lineage: Eukaryota; Metazoa; Chordata; Mammalia; Rodentia; Muridae. The record is from Ensembl.
UUGCUGGGUUUGGUAGCACAGAUACUAAAACUGAAGUGAGACAGAAGAUUAGCAUGGCCCCUGUGCAAGGAUGACACAUAGAUUGGGGUUGCAUGCUGUAUUCCU